GUACACACCGCCCGUCGUUGCUACCGAUGGUGGCAGGAUAGAGCCAUCAGGAGGCCACGGAUCCCUCGUGGGUCCAAGUCAAAAUUGGGCAAUGUCCUGCCACUAGAGGAAGCAAAAGUCGUAACAAGGUUGUUGUAGGUGAACCUGCAG
This 150-nucleotide ribosomal RNA is filed under the name uncultured Discicristata. RNAcentral describes it as "partial small subunit ribosomal RNA". It matches the Rfam family "Eukaryotic small subunit ribosomal RNA", at positions 1662 to 1820 of the family's 1831-position model. The record is from RNAcentral.